CAUUUUUUUGUAUACCACUCCAGGUGGCAUUUUACAUAUAAACAAUACUGAAUGGCGUUGAAAGACUACGAAGGAGACUUUGCAGUUUAUAACAAAUCUCAAAACAGACAAUGUAUAUUUAAAUUGGACCUCAUUGGAUAUGGGUGGACUCCAGUCUAAUGGACGUUCCUGAUGCUCAUUACGUGAUGUAGACAAAGAAGACACAACUAUCAGAAAAGAAUGUCCGGACUCAAUCGUGAAAGGACAACAGAACUUACUAAUUAUUCAUAGAUAGCUAAAAAUUGUGUCACUCAUCAAGCUUCCUGUAAAAAUUCUGGAUAUGAAAUGAAUUAAAAUAUAGUGUAGAUUUUAUUUUUAGAAUGUUUUCCUCUGCAAUAAUCAUCUCAAAAAUAAUGUUAGCAAUAUGUAGUAAUUCUUGUAGGCUUUAUGUUUAUUAAUAGGCCUAUUACUGCUAAUGUUUAUCUUAUUAAUAGAGAAAGUAACCCGUUUGUUGUAAAGAAUAUAGACAUGUAAGAUAAUAAGAUGUAGGCCUAACAUUUUGAGUAUAAAAAUCAGAUUUAUUGAUUUUUGCCGGAUGUACAUGAUAUAGGCCUACAGUAUAUAAAUAUAAAAUGUAUA
This is a long non-coding RNA of Anneissia japonica, 618 nucleotides long. RefSeq lists it as uncharacterized. The record is from RefSeq and is a predicted model, not a curated record. The transcript is spliced from 3 exons. Lineage: Eukaryota; Metazoa; Echinodermata; Crinoidea; Comatulida; Comatulidae.